AGAGUUUGAUCAUGGCUCAGGACGAACGCUGGCGGCGUGCCUAACACAUGCAAGUCGAGCGAUGAAAUCCUUCGGGAUGGAUUAGCGGCGGACGGGUGAGUAACACGUGGGUAACCUGCCUCAAAGAGGGGAAUAGCCUUCCGAAAGGAAGAUUAAUACCGCAUAAUAUGUUUUGGUCGCAUGAUCAGAACAUCAAAGGAGUAAUCCGCUUUGAGAUGGACCCGCGGCGCAUUAGCUAGUUGGUGAGGUAACGGCUCACCAAGGCGACGAUGCGUAGCCGACCUGAGAGGGUGAUCGGCCACAUUGGAACUGAGACACGGUCCAGACUCCUACGGGAGGCAGCAGUGGGGAAUAUUGCGCAAUGGGGGAAACCCUGACGCAGCAACGUCGCGUGAAUGAUGAAGGCCUUCGGGUUGUAAAGUUCUGUCUUCUGGGACGAUAAUGACGGUACCAGAUGAGA
RNAcentral lists this ribosomal RNA (460 nucleotides) under uncultured Clostridiaceae bacterium. RNAcentral's name for it is "bacterial SSU rRNA". It matches the Rfam family "Bacterial small subunit ribosomal RNA", at positions 8 to 487 of the family's 1533-position model. Lineage: Bacteria; Bacillati; Bacillota; Clostridia; Eubacteriales; Clostridiaceae. The record is from RNAcentral.